Molecule: long non-coding RNA, 586 nt
Organism: Ictalurus furcatus (blue catfish)
Lineage: Eukaryota; Metazoa; Chordata; Actinopteri; Siluriformes; Ictaluridae
Exons: 3
Source: RefSeq, a predicted model, not a curated record
UUAACGCGCUGCCUAUAAACAACUGUAAACGGGAUAAUCCAGAGGAGAACGCAGUUAACCUCCUCAAAUACACCCACAACGGAUCAGAUGGAACUGUGGAGAGUUUGACUGCAAUCCAAACAGUGGGGUGCUACACCCUGUUGGGGUACAGGUGAGUGGUGAGAUGGAAAAUACAAAAGAAUUUAUUUAUAAGACUGCAUCAGACCUGCCAACCUUCCUUAGAGUAUGGUGGAAAGUACUUAGACAUAACACCACCAAGCUGCCACUGUUGGUCCUUUACCCUUUCUGUUCCAGGGGUACCGUAUCAUGUCUAACCCAAAUGUCCUAACAAGCUGGGAUAUCUGACGAAGCUUUAGUAAUCUUUACUCUUUAGUCAGCUCACCAGAUGCCAAAGAGAAGUAUUAUUUUGAAGUAUUAUUCAAUUUAUUCCACAUGUUCCUUCAAUGUAUUCCACUUUUCAUAUAUACAUGAUAAAUACUGUUCUUCCUGGACCUGAUUUGUUGAAUUUGGCAAAAUCCUGGAAAUACCUUUUAAUUUUUUUAAUUAAAAAUUGUUUAAUAUUGAGGACAUGAUCAGUAAAUCUGUA